RNAcentral lists this unclassified non-coding RNA (336 nucleotides) under soil metagenome. RNAcentral describes it as "partial contains 5.8S ribosomal RNA, internal transcribed spacer 2, and large subunit ribosomal RNA". The stretch from base 1 to 120 matches the Rfam family "5.8S ribosomal RNA", at positions 35 to 154 of the family's 154-position model. The record is from RNAcentral.
GAUGAAGAACGUAGCGAAAUGCGAUACGUAGUGUGAAUUGCAGAAUUCAGUGAAUCAUCGAAUCUUUGAACGCACAUUGCGCCCCUUGGUAUUCCAUGGGGCAUGCCUGUUCGAGCGUCAUUUGUACCUUCAAGCUUUGCUUGGUGUUGGGUGUUUGUCUCGCCUUUGCGUGUAGACUCGCCUUAAAAUAAUUGGCAGCCGGCGUAUUGAUUUCGGAGCGCAGUACAUCUCGCGCUUUGCACUCAUAACGACAGCGUCCAAAAGUACAUUUUACACUCUUGACCUCGGAUCAGGUAGGGAUACCCGCUGAACUUAAGCAUAUCAAUAAGCGGAGGA